GGGGGAAUGGCUCGGUGGUAGAGCAUUUCACUGCAGAUCAAUAGGCCUCAGGUUCAAAUCCUGAUGCUCCUG
RNAcentral lists this transfer RNA (72 nucleotides) under Monodelphis domestica (gray short-tailed opossum). It matches the Rfam family "tRNA". Rfam says of the family: Transfer RNA (tRNA) molecules are approximately 80 nucleotides in length. Their secondary structure includes four short double-helical elements and three loops (D, anti-codon, and T loops). Further hydrogen bonds mediate the characteristic L-shaped molecular structure. tRNAs have two regions of fundamental functional importance: the anti-codon, which is responsible for specific mRNA codon recognition, and the 3' end, to which the tRNAs corresponding amino acid is attached (by aminoacyl-tRNA synthetases). tRNAs cope with the degeneracy of the genetic code in two manners: having more than one tRNA (with a specific anti-codon) for a particular amino acid; and 'wobble' base-pairing, i.e. permitting non-standard base-pairing at the 3rd anti-codon position. The record is from Rfam by way of RNAcentral. Lineage: Eukaryota; Metazoa; Chordata; Mammalia; Didelphimorphia; Didelphidae.